UACGUAGGGGGCUAGCGUUGUCCGGAAUCAUUGGGCGUAAAGAGCGUGUAGGCGGCUCGGUAAGUCCGCUGUGAAAGUCCGGGGCUCAACCCUGGAAUGCCGGUGGAAACUGUCGAGCUAGAGUCCGGAAGAGGCGAGUGGAAUUCCUGGUGUAGCGGUGAAAUGCGCAGAUAUCAGGAGGAACACCAAUGGCGAAGGCAGCUCGCUGGGACGGUACUGACGCUGAGACGCGAAAGCGUGGGGAGCAAACAGG
This 253-nucleotide ribosomal RNA is filed under the name uncultured bacterium. RNAcentral describes it as "partial 16S ribosomal RNA". It matches the Rfam family "Bacterial small subunit ribosomal RNA", at positions 524 to 776 of the family's 1533-position model. The record is from RNAcentral.